GCCUGUUUAUCAAAAACAUGUCUUUUUGUGAAUAAUUUAAAGUCUAAUCUGCCCACUGAUAAUUUAUUAAAGGGCUGCAGUAUUUUGACUGUACAAAGGUAGCAUAAUCAUUAGUCUCUUAAUUGGUGACUUGUAUGAAGGAUUGAAUGAGAUAUAAACUGUCUUAAAGUUAAAAUAAAUUGAAUUUAAUUUUUUAAUUAAAAAGUUAAAAUAAAUUAAAAAGACGAGAAGACCCUAUAGAGUUUUAUAUUAAUUUAAAUUUAAUUUAUUUAUAAAUUUAAUAAGUAUAAAUUUAUUUUAUUAUUUUGUUGGGGUGAUAAAAAAAUAAAAAAAACUUUUUUUAAAUAUAUACAUAAAUAAGUGAUUUUUUGAUCCAAUUUUAUUGAUUAUAAGAAAAAAUUACCUUAGGGAUAACAGCGUAAUUUUUUUUUUUAGUUCUUAUAAGAAGGAAAGUUUGCGACCUCGAUGUUGGAUUAAGAUAAAAUUUAA
This 489-nucleotide ribosomal RNA is filed under the name Actias ningpoana (Indian moon moth). RNAcentral describes it as "Actias selene ningpoana (Indian moon moth) partial 16S ribosomal RNA". The stretch from base 1 to 163 matches the Rfam family "Archaeal large subunit ribosomal RNA", at positions 1890 to 2097 of the family's 2987-position model. Lineage: Eukaryota; Metazoa; Arthropoda; Insecta; Lepidoptera; Saturniidae. The record is from RNAcentral.